CCAACAGGUAACGCAUGAACUCAUGGGCAUCUUGUUGCUGGUAUCCCCUUAACACAAAAAUAUUCAGACAAUUUAAAGAAACUGCAUCUUUAUUUCUGACAUAUUGGCUCAAAGUAGUUCCAACAUUCAAACCAAAAGAAUAGCCUGUUACUUAAUAUCUUGUAGGAUACACGUGUUUGUGCAAUUUCUAUUACUUUGGCUGUACUCGCCACACAUCUCUGGAAACCUGGAGUGAACUGGUCUAGACAAGCUAAGCAAUUAGUUUAGAUCAGACUGCAAUAUGAUCUCAAAGACACAGCUUGUAUUAUGCUCAUGUGUACAACUGGCAGAAUUCUAAAUUUCCCACUCCUCUUGUCCAAUUUUUUUUUUAAAGACUUUAAAUUUAAAAAGAAAAUUCCUUGUUUUUUAAAAAAAUACAAAGGAAUGCUGGACACCGAGCAAUAAUUGUACAUGUACUUGAUUCUUGCCUCUUGAGCAGUUCUGACACGGGACAGGCAGUAACUCUCACUAUUGUGCAGCAAGGAGGGUUGGACCUUCAUGGCUAGCCCAUAUUGCAGGUGGGGCAGAGUCAUACAUGUGCCAAGCCACUGCAACUGCUGACCAGUUGUGAACCUAUGUGGUUAAGGCCAAGCACUUCUUUCAAGUGCCUGAAGUGGCGCAACCUAAAAGGGAACAGUAGCAGACGGAGGUGGCUCUCUCUCAAUCCUUCCCUCAGGGUUGCACAAUCACUCCCGCCCUUCCCCUUUGGGGUUAUUGGUUAUCAGUCUGUCACUCCAUUUGUAUAGGUUUGUUUGUUGCAUGGUAUAUUAAGAAGGGAUGUGGCAUUCAUAUCCGUGGGGGGGAGAGAGGCAUAUUUGGACUUGGAAGUAACUGUGGUUUGCAUUGAGCAGGUUUGCAGUUUGAACAGUUGCAUCAGUUUGAACUGAUCAUCAUAAAUGAUGCACAACAUACUAGAAUCUUGGACUGGGAAAACAUGGUUUUACAUCACACUUUUUUGGCAUCUAAGAGAUUCAGUAGUUUUUGGACAAAAGUUCUGAGCAGAUUUUCUUCAGACACCAGACCCAUCAUUUCUCUUAACACUGUCAACUGGUUCUCUUCUCUCAGAUAAAGGGUUUCAUUCCCAGGCUGUUUUCUCCACAAGCCUCCUGCAGUAAUAGCAUGAGCUCUUUGAAAUGACAGGAAUGUAUCCCCCAUCCCUGGGCUGGGCUACGGAACGGUGUUUAGAAUUGUAUGGAGGGGUUUCAACCUCCACUCUGGGUAAUCUUGCAACAUUUUUGAGUGAAGAAAUGCAUUUGAGGCACAAUUCUUCUCAUUACAUUUGGACUCAGACACCCAACUGACCGUGGAAGUUUUUAGAGUCUCUGAAGUACAAUGGAAGCAGUAGCAGAAAGAUGUUGCUCACACAAGAAGCAAUCAGUGCUUCACUGCUAGCUAGGCUGUAGGAAGCCAACAGCAGUCAGGUAAGCAAGUUUUUAUAAGUUACCAGUAAGCUAAAGGAUGUAAUAAUUCAAGGAAAGUCAGCAGGAAUCUCUAUGAAUACAUCAUAAGACUCAAAGCACCCAGCCCCAAAUGAAGUGGGGGGAUACAUCAUCACAGAAACAGAUAGCUACACAACCCUUCAUAGGAUUAGUACAGAAGUUCCCAAACCAUGGGCUGCAGAGAGCUGCAUUCUCUGCAGUUCUGGUCCUUUAAAUUUCACUAAUAAACUAAAAAUCCAUCACAUAUUAUUCUCCUAUUCCAUGUAAGCAACUGAUGCAGUUACCACCAGGAUAUGUGACUGAGUGGGAUGGGUGAUGGUUUCUAAAGUCAUGAACAGAAGGGGCAAUGUCUAUACAAAACUCUCAACGGUACAGAACACACCACAGAGUUGGAGAACCUGUGGUUUAGCUGAGUGAGCACAGAAUGCAUACGCUGGCACAUGCCCAUAGGAAAGGUGACAUGCCUAAUACAGAAUGCAGUCACUGCACACCAAGCUUCCUACAAAAUCUCAGCCAAAGUUAAAGUGAACAUACACUAAAACCUUAAAUAAGCAUCCCUCCUUUAUCCCCGAACAAGCAUAACAAGAGCCAUUUCCUCCAAACCAGAGUCACAACAAGCAUUACUGAGAAACUGCCUAGCUUUGCCACAACAGCAGUGAAAGCAGAGCUGUGAAAUCAAACACAGGAAAAUGAAGGCAGGUGUGACUCAGAACAUUUACAGCAGACUGCUGCUGUGCUGCAUCAAGCUGAGGACAGUCUAUGAACUCUUAAGAUGAUCAGCUUGGUUCCCCCUCCAAUUCCUUUUACAUCAUCCCUGGUCACUAAAGAUGGAAUUCAGAAUUAAAAAGAUUAUCUGGUAAAGGAUGCGAUAUCUGCAAGUUAACUUUGCAUAGAUACUAAACAGAAGAUGUUUAAUGUUUAUACAAACUGGACUAUCACUCCAGAACAAAUGAAUGAGGCAGAAUUCUUUCUGAGCUGCGUGAUCAAUGUAAGAAAGACUGGGGUUUAAAUGCAGUCAUUAGAAGAUACUAAGUUAAUGAAGGAAUUGCUUAGGUUGUUUAAUAGAUAUAUCCACAUUUUAUAUAGCUUAGCAGAGUUACAACAGAAGAAAGAAAAUUUAUGGGAACAGCAUUAUCAGCAAGAAUGUGUUACAGACAACAUUACUUAAGCCAAAGCACAGAAAUUUUAAAUGAAAUGGGACAUAUAUUUGAUCUGAAAUGUGAUGUAAUUUGAUUUGUAAAUGUUUUAUUGUUAUUUACAUUUAUAAUAUAGCACUUUGUAAGGUUUGUAUUCCGUUCAUCCAAGUACAAAUAUCUUUGGAAUGUUAACUGAUCUAAAAUAAAAUGACCAAAGUUCCUGUG
Long non-coding RNA from Gopherus flavomarginatus (Mexican gopher tortoise), 2839 nucleotides. RefSeq lists it as uncharacterized. The record is from RefSeq and is a predicted model, not a curated record. NCBI's taxonomy places the organism in Eukaryota, Metazoa, Chordata, Testudines, Testudinidae. The transcript has 2 exons.